This 72-nucleotide transfer RNA is filed under the name Bacteriophage sp. RNAcentral's name for it is "tRNA-Asp". It matches the Rfam family "tRNA". From Rfam's summary of the family: Transfer RNA (tRNA) molecules are approximately 80 nucleotides in length. The record is from RNAcentral.
CGAGGGUUAGUUCAGUGGUAGAAUAGCACACUGUCUAUGCGAAGGUCACCAGUUCGAAUCUGGUACUCUCGG